Cyanistes caeruleus (blue tit) is the source of this 1894-nucleotide long non-coding RNA. The record is from Ensembl. NCBI's taxonomy places the organism in Eukaryota, Metazoa, Chordata, Aves, Passeriformes, Paridae.
UUUAGUGUUUGGGUUGCAGAAACCAUGUGGAGUGCUGCUGUUUAUAAAGUACGUAAAAGCCUUUUUGUUUAUUUUGUUUUGUUUUGCCAUGAGAUGUUUUUUUGGAAAGAAUCUAGAAUGAUGAAGCAGCUGGUGGCUGAGUCUCCUGCUCAGUGUGCAGAGAAUGAAGAUUGGCUGGGAUAGCUGGAGUUAUUCACUGCAUGCUGUGGGCCACGUAAACACACAAACAGGCAAUUCUUGUUCACCAGGAGGUGUGUGGUAACUCAGAAAGCACCAUUAACUGUUCUGUACGUGUACUCACCAUGACACCACAUAUGGGAGGCAGCAGAUACAGAUCUCCCCAGCUCCUGUCCAUUACUCUGUGGGUGUUGGUGUGGCACAGCCCAUGUGGGUGAAAUGAUGAUGGCUGUAGGAAUGUCUCCUGUGCAGAGGGGAGGUCUGCUGUGAAUUUGCCCAAUCCCAACAUUGCAAUGCAUUUCAGGGAAGUGGUGUUUUCAUGGCAAGGAAAGCUGCUUCUCCUGCCUUGUGCUGCCUUGGAAUAAGCAUGUCCCCAUGGGAGGCUGUUCAAGAGCUGCCUACGGCAGGGAUGCUCAAGACAAACAAACUCAGCCACAAGGGGUAGAAACUUUUUGCAUACUUUCUGAAGAGGAUCAUGCAGUACAAUUACAACAGCAAGGGACUGGAUGUAAUAACCCUGAAGAUUUCCUUCUGCUUUAUGUUUCCAAAAGUGGAGAAGAUCCUUGCAGAAGCUUCACCAGCUGGGUCUUUAGGAGAAGUACCAAAAAUUAUGAUGGUAUCAGAAGUACUGCUCACCUUCUGAGAGAUUCCCAGGAUGUAAGCAAUCAAGUGUUGCUUUACCAGCUAUGGAAAGACAGAAUCUUGCUGAAGAGCUGAGGCAUUCCUUGGAAAGUGAGUUUGCAUCUUUUGCAAGGGAAAAAAGGACAGCUUGGCUGUGAGAUUGUUUUUGUAUGUAUGGACAGCACCCCAUCUUGUCAUCAGAAUAGGAAACUAUCCAAUAUUUGGGUCUUCACUCAUGUGAUAAAAUCACUUUAAAGGAAGUUUUAUAUCACAAGAGAUACCUGAACAUUUGUUUCAAAGCAGCUUAGAAGCAGCUUAGCCAGGAGCUUCUUUUUAUAUAUAUAUAUAUAAAAAAACCAAAAAAACAACAAACCUGAAAGUAUAUAUUUGAAGAGCAGCUGCCCUACAGCCUUUUCCUAUGCAUUGCAAAGGGUACAGCCUGGGAUUUCCCAGCAGCUAUGGCUAGUCUGCAGCUCUCCAGGUGGGCCAGACAGUGCUGUGCUAAAGAACCUCAGGAAGUCCUGGUUCAAGCCUUUGUCUGUGUACCGGCCACAGUGUGGGCUCCUGAGUUACUCUGCUGUGAGGCUGGAUAAUGGCUCAAAUUUGGAUGCUGUUGCUCUGGGCUUCAUUGCUUUCUGUAAGUAAAUUUUAUUAGCAGAGGGCCUGAAUAAGGGUGUUUUCUGAGGAUUUUAUAAUCAGGUCAACUCCUGUCCUGUUUUUUCCCUGUUCUGUGGUGAUGGCAAUCUGUGGUUACUUGGACAUCAGCAGAGUUUUGUUUCAGUUUUCAUUUCAGUGGCUUAAGCCUGUUUUCUGUUAAAACAACCAAAAUCUAUUUGGGAUAGAGUGGAAUUAAAUCCCAAAUUAAAAUCAGCUUAAAAAAGAAAGGGUUGGUUUUGUUAAAGGAGAAAAACUGAGUUCAUCCAUGUUUGGUAAAGGUAUGGUGAAAAUUCCCUAAUAACCACCUAUCAAGCAUUCAGAAACUGGUAAGCAGAAAAAUUGAAUCCUUCUUUCAGCCUUUUGGGAAGGCUGCUGGCAAUGAGUGCAGUUACUGGAGAAAAAAGGUAUUGAUCUCCCUCAGUAAGGUCCAUGGUUCUUA